CCAUGAAUCAAGAAAAGAAAUAUGCUGUGCAAGAAACACUUCUUCAUUUUGAACCCAUAAUAAAAGGGUGCAAGUAUAUAAUAUAUAUGCCCAUUCUGAUUAUCAUUUGCACAAUAUUGCAAUCCAGAAUCUACAUCUCUUUGCUUUCCACUAUGCUUAUAGUGUGUGGAUUGCUAUCAUUUUGUGGUAGAAAUUAUAGAUUUUCUAAUUAUGGAAACAAAAAUUGCAAGUGCUACAUACAUAUUUAUUUCCAUCUAGAGUGGGUUGCAAUAGUUCGGUUGGAGGGGAGAGGGGAAUCACACUCACCUGGAAGCUGGACCAGUCUGGAU
This 329-nucleotide unclassified non-coding RNA is filed under the name Zea mays. RNAcentral's name for it is "misc RNA Zm00001eb133650". Lineage: Eukaryota; Viridiplantae; Streptophyta; Magnoliopsida; Poales; Poaceae. The record is from RNAcentral.